AUGGGCAAGUACAUGCGCAAGCCCAAGGUCUCCGGCGAGGUGGCCGUCAUGGAGGUCGCCGCCGCGCCGCUGGGGGUCCGCACCCGCGCGCGGGCGCUCGCGAUGCAGAGGCAGCCGCAGGGGGCGCCGGGGGCCAAGGACCAGGGGGAGUACCUGGAGCUCAGGAGCCGGAAGCUCGAGAAGCUGCCCCCGCCGCCGCCGCCGGCGAGGAGGAGGGCGGCCGCGGCGAAGCGUGUCGAGGCCGAGGCCGAGGCCGACGAGGUGUCCUUCGGGGAGAACGUGCUCGAGCCGGAGGCCAUGGGGAGGGGUACCAGGGAGACGACGCCCUGCAGCUUGAUUAGGGACUCGGGAAUGAUAAGCACUCCUGGAUCCACAACAAGACCGAGCCACUCGAAUUCCCAUCGCAGGGUGCAAGCUCCAGCGCGCCAUAUUAUUCCAAGUUCAGCAGAGAUGAAUGAGUUCUUCUCUGCUGCGGAGCAACCGCAACAGCAAGCCUUCAUCGACAAUGAAGAAUGCCAACUCAGCGUGCAAUGUGGUUUUGACACGUACAACUUUGAUCCUGUGAACGACUGUCCUCUCCCAGGCCGAUACGAGUGGGUGAAGCUAGACUGA
RNAcentral lists this ribosomal RNA (612 nucleotides) under Triticum aestivum (bread wheat). RNAcentral's name for it is "partial small subunit ribosomal RNA". The record is from RNAcentral. Lineage: Eukaryota; Viridiplantae; Streptophyta; Magnoliopsida; Poales; Poaceae.